Molecule: ribosomal RNA, 492 nt
Filed under: uncultured bacterium
Lineage: Bacteria
Description: partial 16S ribosomal RNA
Rfam family: Bacterial small subunit ribosomal RNA
Source: RNAcentral
AGUGAACGCUGGCGGUAGGCCUAACACAUGCAAGUCGAACGGCAGCACAGUAAGAGCUUGCUCUUACGGGUGGCGAGUGGCGGACGGGUGAGGAAUACAUCGGAAUCUACUUUUUCGUGGGGGAUAACGUAGGGAAACUUACGCUAAUACCGCAUACGACCUACGGGUGAAAGCAGGGGAUCUUCGGACCUUGCGCGAUUGAAUGAGCCGAUGUCGGAUUAGCUAGUUGGCGGGGUAAAGGCCCACCAAGGCGACGAUCCGUAGAUGGUCUGAGAGGAUGAUCAGCCACACUGGAACUGAGACACGGUCCAGACUCCUACGGGAGGCAGCAGUGGGGAAUAUUGGACAAUGGGCGCAAGCAUGAUCCAGCCAUACCGCGUGGGUGAAGAAGGCCUUCGGGUUGUAAAGCCCUUUUGUUGGGAAAGAAAAGCAGCAGGUUAAUACCCCGCUGUUCUGACGGUACCCAAAGAAUAAGCACCGGCUAACUUCGUG